GGACUCCAGGCAUGGCUCAAGCAGCAAGAGUGCCUGCCUACCAAGGACAAGGUCCUAAAUUCAAAGAAAACAUUUUAUACUAUAGUUAAAUUCUAAUUAUUUUAAGCACCAGCAAAUAAUUCUCUGUAUCUACUCUACUUUUAUUAAGCGUCAGCCAUGGUCAUUGCCAUUGUGUCUUUUCCCAUAUGCAAUCAUUCACCAAACCCAGCCCUUCCCUACACCUGACAGCCCACCUCCCCCCUGCUGGCCCAAGCUGCCUUGGCUUCCUUUGACUGCCUGUCCACCAGCCUCACCACCUCCUUCCAGCCUUGCCAUGCAGGUCAUCUGUUAUGGCUUCAUUUCAACUGUAUUUCUAAUAACCCUGUAGCAACUCCCUAUGCAUUUUCAUGGAAACUCAGACUUUGGGCAGUGGCUUCCCAGCACUUCCUCAGCAAGAUCCACCCAACUCUUCCUGUCUGCUCUUGUCUCCCCUUCUGACCUCACCCACACCUUCAGUACUUUCCUAGCUGCCCCUCCCAGGAGGCUAGCUGCAUUACAUGUGAAAUUCUGUCCUUCUUUCUUAUGUAGCAUGGUUAUAUAGUAGUCAUUUUAGCUAUUCAUUCUUUAUUUCAACAAAUAGGAUCAAGGACACCCUGUGAGUUGGCCACUGUGCUAGCUCCUAUGGAUGAACAAAAUCAGUAGUAUAUGGGCCCUGCUCUCAAGGAGCUUGCAGUUUGGUAGGGAACAGGCCUGCAAUCAAAUAAUCACAAUGCAAUGUAUUAGGGGUUACAGGAGCUAUGUAAGCAGAACAUUGGAGUGCACAUAGGAAGUAGCAGCAAAGAAUCCAGAAAGACUUCACAGAGGAAGUAGCAUUUGAAUUGAUUAGAAAGACAUUACAUUGUGAAUGUUCUCCACUUGAAGAAAGGAGUAAGGGCUUUGUUAGCAGAAGUAACCUGGGAAAAUAAUUGCAAGCAUAUAUUGGUCUUUCAGAUGUAUGCACACUUACAUAGAUACAUUUAGUGUGGCUGGAGCCUAGAACAGGUAGUAAAACAUUUUGGAAAGGGAGGCUGGAAGGACAGGAACUGAAACAAGGUUCUCUAAGCAACAAGGAUCCAGUAGAAAUCUUUAAAAGAGAAAGUAAAUUGAUCACUUUAGGUACUGAUGAAUUGAUAGCUCCACUGAAGUUGGUAGUCUGAAUGUAGAAUUGUGAAGGAAUUUACAAUGAUCCAGUGAAAGAUGAGACUUUAAAUCAGAGUGUCUAUAAAGUUACAUAUAGAGGUAGCACAACCUGAAAUAGCAGGUAUCUACAGAGUGUCUCAGACAGAGACUAAUCUGGAGAAUGUUACCAAAACCAGAACUAGGUAUUCAAAACGAUGCAGUGGCUCAUGCCAAUAAUCCUAACUACUCAGGAGGCUGAGCUAUGAAAUCUGAAGUUUGAAGCCAGCCCAGACAGUAAAGUCCAAGUGACUCUUAUCUCCAGUUAACCAGCAAAAAGGCUGAAAAUAGAAGUGUGACUCAGGUAGUAAAGUACCAGCCUUGAGCA
Long non-coding RNA from Perognathus longimembris pacificus (Pacific pocket mouse), 1522 nucleotides. RefSeq lists it as uncharacterized. The record is from RefSeq and is a predicted model, not a curated record. NCBI's taxonomy places the organism in Eukaryota, Metazoa, Chordata, Mammalia, Rodentia, Heteromyidae. The transcript is spliced from 2 exons.